Capsicum annuum is the source of this 1623-nucleotide RNA transcript. RefSeq lists it as uncharacterized. The transcript has 4 exons. Lineage: Eukaryota; Viridiplantae; Streptophyta; Magnoliopsida; Solanales; Solanaceae. The record is from RefSeq and is a predicted model, not a curated record.
GUUAUCUGUACAUAUUUAUGUGUAGUAUUGAGGUUGUUUCAGUUCAGGUUAUUGCAGUGGCUUAUGUUAUCAUGACAACAAGAUCGCUCGAGUUAAACUGGAAAAUGAGGGCAUUGCGAGUUUUACCAAUGUUUCUAUUGCCUGGAUUAUCCUUCCUUACAUAUUCAACGCUUGGGAGCUUCACAAGGAUGAAUGAACACAAGGAUCAGAAAACUUUAGAAAGGCUUCGAGCUGAAAGGCAAGCCAAGAUUGAUGAACUCAAAGAGAAGACAAAUUACUAUAUAACGCAGCAUCUCAUUCAGAGGUAUGACCCUGACCCAGCAUCUAAGGCAGCUGCAGCCACUGUGCUUGCGUCCAAGCUCGGUGCAGAUACUGGCUUGAAAGUUUAUGUGGGAGAUGAGUCUAAGCUUAAUGCUCCUAUUGGAAAGAGCAAUGAUGUAGAAAUUUUGCAGUCCAUUGGACUGGGAAACAGGAAGCAAACCAGAUCUGGUAGUGCAGACAAUGGUGUAUUGGAUCAUUCCGAAGGAGGAAUGCUUCGUGAUGUACAACUUGAAGGUUCUAGUAUGAACCAACAUCAGCAAAUGAUUGUCGAGCAUUACAAUCCUAUAGGUUUGAGCACACAAGACGGGGGAUGGCUUGGACGAAUUGCAGCAUUGCUUGUGGGAGAGAAUCCAACCCAAUCUUAUGCUCUUAUCUGCGGCAGUUGCCAUAUGCACAAUGGCCUCGCUAGGAAAGAAGAACUGCCCUAUAUAACCUACUAUUGUCCUCACUACAAAGCCCUGAAUAGGCCUAAGCAGCUUACUGAUGGCACAUCUAGUUCUAGUACUCUGAAUAUGGCAUCCACAACCAUCGCGUUGAUGCUGAUUUGGUCAAACAGGACACUGGAUCCAUGGCUGAGAGAAUCUCCACAAGUAGCAGCCCUGCAGCUGCUUCUGCGGAAACAACAGAAGGUGACAAUAUAGUGUCCGCAAGUAACAGCCCUGCAGUUGCUGUCGCGGAAACAACAGAAGGUGAAAAUAUAGUCUCCAGUACUACAGCUUGAAUGGAUUAGAGCAGGCAGAGUGUAUUGUAAGUGUGAUGAUUUUCUUCUUAGCUUGGUUAGUGUAACUAUGUAUCUCUUGCAAAAACACCUAGUAGGAAAACAAAACUCAGAUGGCAUCGGUCCCACCUGCCUAAUAUCCAUCGUUUUAUAAUCAAGAUAUUACACACUUAAAAAAAGGUUACUAUUACACAUUUUAAGUCUGUUAGGUACAGUACUAGCAGUUUUGUCGGGUCUCCAAAUCCUGAAGGUUCCUUUUUAUUUUUAUUUUUUAAAUCUUCUUGAUUCAUUUGUCCAUUCUUCUCCUAUGUAUUUGGACAAACGAUAUCUCUAUGACGAUUUUUCUAAUUAGUUACUCCAAUCCUUUUCAUCUUCUUUCUGUAUCUACAAUUGAGUUUUGGCAUUUGGUCUUUGAGGUAUUGAAAUGGAAAAUUCAAGGCAGAGAGGGAGGAAAGGGGUUCAUGUUUGAUGGAAAUAAAUUGUGUAACUACAAGUGAAGCAGAAAAUUACGCCCAGUGUCCUCGAAGUGACUGGUCUUGAUUUUUUGAUCUUGCUAAUUAAGUUUUAGCUUUUGCAUAUUAGGA